This 22-nucleotide microRNA is filed under the name Bombyx mori (domestic silkworm). Its description in RNAcentral is "piRNA piR-bmo-1543327". The record is from RNAcentral. RNAcentral also lists the same sequence under 1 other name. Lineage: Eukaryota; Metazoa; Arthropoda; Insecta; Lepidoptera; Bombycidae.
CAAAGCGUUUGGAUUCUAAAAC